AGCGAACGCUGGCGGCAGGCCUAACACAUGCAAGUCGAACGGAUCCUUCGGGAUUAGUGGCGGACGGGUGAGUAACACGUGGGAACGUGCCUUUUGGUUCGGAACAACUCAGGGAAACUUACGCUAAUACCGCAUAAUAUCUACGGAUCAAAGAUUUAUCGCCAAGAGAUCAGCCCGCGCUAGAUUAGGUAGUUGGUGAG
This 200-nucleotide ribosomal RNA is filed under the name uncultured bacterium. Its description in RNAcentral is "partial 16S ribosomal RNA". It matches the Rfam family "Bacterial small subunit ribosomal RNA", at positions 29 to 256 of the family's 1533-position model. The record is from RNAcentral.